This 23-nucleotide microRNA is filed under the name Ptychodera flava. Its description in RNAcentral is "Pfl-Mir-1_5p* (star (passenger))". Lineage: Eukaryota; Metazoa; Hemichordata; Enteropneusta; Ptychoderidae. The record is from RNAcentral.
ACAUACUUCCUUAUCACUCCAUA